AUGCAAGUCGAGCGAUGGAUUAAGAGCUUGCUCUUAUGAAGUUAGCGGCGGACGGGUGAGUAACACGUGGGUAACCUGCCCAUAAGACUGGGAUAACUCCGGGAAACCGGGGCUAAUACCGGAUAACAUUUUGAACCGCAUGGUUCGAAAUUGAAAGGCGGCUUCGGCUGUCACUUAUGGAUGGACCCGCGUCGCAUUAGCUAGUUGGUGAGGUAACGGCUCACCAAGGCAACGAUGCGUAGCCGACCUGAGAGGGUGAUCGGCCACACUGGGACUGAGACACGGCCCAGACUCCUACGGGAGGCAGCAGUAGGGAAUCUUCCGCAAUGGACGAAAGUCUGACGGAGCAACGCCGCGUGAGUGAUGAAGGCUUUCGGGUCGUAAAACUCUGUUGUUAGGGAAGAACAAGUGCUAGUUGAAUAAGCUGGCACCUUGACGGUACCUAACCAGAAAGCCACGGCUAACUACGUGCCAGCAGCCGCGGUAAUACGUAGGUGGCAAGCGUUAUCCGGAAUUAUUGGGCGUAAAGCGCGCGCAGGUGGUUUCUUAAGUCUGAUGUGAAAGCCCACGGCUCAACCGUGGAGGGUCAUUGGAAACUGGGAGACUUGAGUGCAGAAGAGGAAAGUGGAAUUCCAUGUGUAGCGG
RNAcentral lists this ribosomal RNA (645 nucleotides) under Bacillus paramycoides. RNAcentral's name for it is "bacterial SSU rRNA". It matches the Rfam family "Bacterial small subunit ribosomal RNA", at positions 55 to 681 of the family's 1533-position model. The record is from RNAcentral. Lineage: Bacteria; Bacillati; Bacillota; Bacilli; Caryophanales; Bacillaceae.